AACGAACGCUGGCGGCAGGCUUAACACAUGCAAGUCGAACGCCCCGCAAGGGGAGUGGCAGACGGGUGAGUAACGCGUGGGAAUCUACCCAUCUCUACGGAAUAACUCAGGGAAACUUGUGCUAAUACCGUAUACGCCCUACGGGGGAAAGAUUUAUCGGAGAUGGAUGAGCCCGCGUUGGAUUAGCUAGUUGGUGGGGUAAAGGCCUACCAAGGCGACGAUCCAUGGCUGGUCUGAGAGGAUGAUCAGCCACAUUGGGACUGAGACACGGCCCAAACUCCUACGGGAGGCAGCAGUGGGGAAUAUUGGACAAUGGGCGCAAGCCUGAUCCAGCCAUGCCGCGUGAGUGAUGAAGGUCUUAGGAUUGUAAAGCUCUUUCACCGGUGAAGAUAAUGACGGUAACCGGAGAAGAAGCCCCGGCUAACUUCGUGCCAGCAGCCGCAGUAA
This 447-nucleotide ribosomal RNA is filed under the name uncultured bacterium. Its description in RNAcentral is "partial 16S ribosomal RNA". It matches the Rfam family "Bacterial small subunit ribosomal RNA", at positions 29 to 523 of the family's 1533-position model. The record is from RNAcentral.